AGUCACAGUGCACAGUGCAGGAUGAUUCACCUCAUGGUCAGCAUAAGCCCAGGUCAGGUAGGGUAGAAGGGUGCCUUGUGGGACACCAGGGAGCAGGAACUCCCCAACCUAUGCAUGUGGACCUCCCCCUGUGAAGCUCCCUUUUUUUUUUGGACAGGGUCUCACUCUGUCCCCCAGGAUGAAGUGCAGUGGUGCAAUCACAGUUCACUGCAGCCUCAACCUCCCGGACCCAAGUGAUCCUCCCAUCUCAGCUUUCAAGUACCUGCGAAUCUGGCUGCUCCACUGUUGGGUGCAUAUGUAUUCAGGAUAAGAUCUUGCAUCCCGAACAUACAAGUAAUUCCUGAGGAGUUGGCGGAGCCUCUGCCGACUCCAAGCUGAGCAUCCGAGAACUUCUGGCCCAACAGCACUCAUCAGGAAUCAGUGCAGUCUAUUUCUCCCUGGAAGCAGAGGGUCCGAAAAGUUCUGACUAGGCAAAGAGUGAGAGUGUGCAUAUCAAUUGAAGGUACUGUGACUAUUCUGUUAUUAAGUGCAUUCAAGCAGAGUGAUUCCAGUUGGUUAAGCAUUUCAUGUUUAAGACAAAACUUGAUUUAUUUAUUUAUUUUAAGUUGGAGUUUCACUCUUGUAGCCCAGGCUGGAGUGUAGUGGCUCGAUCUCAGCUCACUGCAACCUCUGCCUCCUGGGUUCAAGCAAUUCUCCUGCCUCAGCCUACUGAGUAGCUGGGACUACAGGCGUCCACCAACAUGCCCAGCUAAUUUUUAUAUUUUUAGUAGAGAUGGGGUUUCGCCAUGUUGGCCAGGGUGUCUCGAACUCUUAACAUUAGGUGAUCCACCCGCCUCGGCCUCCCAAAGUGCUGGGCCUACAGGCAUGAGCCACCAUGCCCGGCCUAGACAAAACUUUAAAAAUGCUGUGUCAUAUUUCUCUUUUAUUUCAUGUGUGCACGUUUAAAUUAUUUAGUCAGUUGCCACUACUACAACUACAGAAGUAAUGGCGUAUUUACAACUAAAAGUUUCAUUCACUUUAAAUAGAAAACAUCUCAACUGAAACUUUUAACAUUUAGCUGAUCAUUAAACAUUAGCUGAGAUGGAUCUCUUCCUGAAACAGUGUUGCCAGAGUUUUAAAAAUUAAGAGAGUUUAUGUAGGACAGUUUUAGAUGAAUGUAAAAAUUGAAGAGAGUACAGAAAAUUCUCAGACCCUCCCCCCAAAGUUUGCUUUUCUUAACCACCUUUUACAUGGGUGUGGUCCAUGCGUUACAAUGAGUGAACCAUUAUUGAUACAUUGUUAGUAUCUAAAGGCCAGAGUUUGCAUUAAGAUUCAGUCUGUGUUUUGGUAGUCUAAGGGUUUUGACAUUACAUGAGCUUCACCUAUUAACUUCUCUCCCCUUUUUCCAGAUCCCUCAGCAACCACUGAUCUUUUCACUGUCCCUCUGGUUUUUCUUUCCCAGAAAGCUUAUGUAAUUGGAAUCAUAGCAUAUGCAGCUUUUUCAGAUUGACUUAUUUCACUUAUAAUAUACAUUUAUGAUAUUUUCAUA
Long non-coding RNA from Homo sapiens (human), 1528 nucleotides. RefSeq lists it as uncharacterized. The record is from RefSeq and is a predicted model, not a curated record. The transcript is spliced from 2 exons. NCBI's taxonomy places the organism in Eukaryota, Metazoa, Chordata, Mammalia, Primates, Hominidae.